CUCUCCCGCUAGAGGCGGAGCGGCGGUGCUCGCGGGAAGACCCUUUCCUGGGGGUCGCCCAGGGUGCCGCCCUGCUAAUGUCCGAUUCAGGGUUGCUGGCCCUACAGCCCUGGAUUCGAGAGCUGAUCCUAGGUUCAGAAACACUGUCAAGUCCACGAACCGGGCAGCUGCUCAAGGUACUCCAGGACUCGGAGACUCCCGGCCCUUCUUCCGCCCCUGACACACCUGACACCGGGGCCGUGUUACUUGUGUCAGACGGAACCCACAGUGUCCGAUGCGUGGUGACGCGCAACGCCAUCGACACCUCCGACUGGGAGGAGAAGGAGCUCGGAUUCCGCGGGACCGAGGGCCGGCUCCUGCUACUGCAGGCCUGCGGGCUCCGCGUUCAGGUGGCUCAGGACCAUGCGCCUGCGGAGUUCUACCUCCAGGUGGAUCGCUUUAACCUGCUGCCCACGGAGCAGCCCCGGAUACAGGUGACUGGUUGUUAAAUGAAGCUUCCACCUUUUGUCUCUUCACGCGCACUUGGCAUAGAUCUUCAGGUGAGAGGGAUGGGCAUCAAUAACCCUGAUCACCUACCACCCUCCUCUUUCUCCCAGCAAUCAGGAUUCAGAUGUGCAGAGAAAACUCAAUGAGUGUCUUGAGGACCACCUCUCAGAGUCUGCUUCUUCCAGUGCAGGCCUAACCCUGUCCCAGCUUCUGGAUGAGGUGAGGGAGGACCAGGAUCAUCGGGGAGCCCUAGUGUGUCUAGCUAAGAGCUGCCUGGUGCUGAAAGGUCCUUGUACAACCACCCCCCUCACCGACUGGAUCACCUCUGGCUCCCAGGCCUUGGGAAAAGCUGUGUUCACUGUGUCUGGCUCAUUGCUGCACAUCCCUGAGGGUGAGGAGCAGAUUUUGAGUUCUACAGGCUCCAGUCAGAAGGCUCGGGGAACCUCCGCUUCACCCAGCCACAUGCCCCUGGAGGAAAGUGGUGCCAGCGUUAGCCUUCUGUCAGCCUUGGCUACAUCGGACCCUGGGCAGAUGGACAGUUCCCAGUCUCCACCAGCUGUUGGCUCAACCUCCCCAAGAGCUCAGGCCCCCACUUCUCCACCCUGCAAUUCUACACCCAGCUCCCUACUCUUGAACUGCAGCCCCAGUCUUUCACCCCUUCACCCUGCCCCUAGAUCACACCAGUCCUGUGAGACCAGAGCUCAGGCUCCUAAGCUGGAGUUCCAGUGCUCCUUCAAGAAACGGCAGCUUCUCCCAAGAACCAGCGCCCAGGAGCUCUGCUCUGUGUGGGAACCCCCAGAGAGGCAUCGUGAUACUUCUGCAUUCCAGUAUAAAUACGAGACACCCUCUGCCUCCCUCCACACCCAGGUCCAAACUGCCAGGCUCUCUCCUCAGCUUGUAGCUUGGGCCUUGAAUAUAGUGAUGGAGUCAGAGUCUGAGUUAACCCAGGUAUGAGGAGUCACUGGGACAUAGCAGAGGACACAUGGGCUGACGGACAGACAGUAUUCCACGCUGUUUCAUUCAAGUUUUUUAAUAAAAUAAUUUCAUGCGGCA
Mus musculus (house mouse) is the source of this 1539-nucleotide RNA transcript. It is a transcript of the gene named adrenocortical dysplasia, with no coding region annotated. The transcript is spliced from 11 exons. NCBI's taxonomy places the organism in Eukaryota, Metazoa, Chordata, Mammalia, Rodentia, Muridae. The record is from RefSeq and is marked validated.